Molecule: transfer-messenger RNA, 350 nt
Filed under: Myxococcota
Lineage: Bacteria; Pseudomonadati
Also listed under: 1 other name
Description: DUVQ01 sp012840965 Standard tmRNA
Rfam family: transfer-messenger RNA
About the family: Bacterial tmRNA, also known as 10Sa RNA or SsrA, is named for its dual tRNA and mRNA-like properties. Its role is to liberate the mRNA from a stalled ribosome. To accomplish this part of the tmRNA is used as a reading frame that ends in a translation stop signal.
Source: RNAcentral
GGGGGUGUUCCGGUUUCGACGGGGGUGAUGAGGGGCCGGGACGCACGUCCGGGGCCUGGACCCGGUAAGCAAUCAGGACUUUACACAAAAGCCGAAGAUAACUUCGCACUGGCGGCUUAGCUGUCACGUCUGACACGGCGGCGCCCGUAAACCGUUGAAGGCGCAAAUUAUUCGGGCUUGGUGAUUAUUGGGGCUUCUCGGCCCCCAAUGGCACGACAACAAGUCGAGGGGUCUUGAGGAAGGGUGCCUGUGCUCGUCCACUCGGAUGCUACAAAACACAAGGCUAAACGUGUAGUUGGACCGGUUUCGAGCACUUUCGGACGGGGGUUCGACUCCCCCCACCUCCACCA